This is a non-coding RNA of Pelobates cultripes (western spadefoot toad), 922 nucleotides long. The record is from the annotation of a GenBank genome assembly. NCBI's taxonomy places the organism in Eukaryota, Metazoa, Chordata, Amphibia, Anura, Pelobatidae.
CUUUAUUCCUAGGAUCACUCAAGCCAGAAUCCCAGUCAGAUCCAGGACUACCGCAUAUAGCACCUCUAUACAACAAAAGCCCUGUGUCUCAUAGGAUUACAUUCUUGUUAUUUACUGGUAAUACGUCUUCCCGAUAAUGUUUGCCUUUAGCUACCGUUUAUGUGCUUGCCUUUCUGGAGUUCUGCAUUGUUCACUAUCCUAUACUCUUCUGUGUCCCUACCCUGCCUCUGGUUUCUACUGUGGACCUUUCAUUCCUCCUGAGCCUCCUUCUUGUUUCUUCUACUGAUUUGGUGAUCCUGGUAUUCUGUUGUCACCUGUGGGAGGUCUUGGGGGUUUUGAGCGCCUGGAGUCGCUCCUGAAGGGGAGGGUACUGUCACGGUUCACUCCCUAGGUGAUAUUCCUUUGUGCAGUACCUAUUAUCACCACUCUCCCUGUUUGGUGCUAUUUUCUUGUAUCAUUUAACACUUCAGCUGACCCUUGCUAGGCACCUUUAUAGUUUGGUCUCCCCCUUCCCUCAGGGUCAGAUCAAUGUUUCCUUGAACCUGUGACUCUGACCCUGCAUCCUUUGGUCUUGUAUCCUGUUUCCUUGUUCCUGUGUCCACCGGUCUUGUAUCCUGUGACUCUGACCUUGCAUCCUCUGGUCUUGUGUUCCUGUGUCAUCUGGUCUUCUAUCCUGCAUCCUGUGGCCUUGGUUCCUGUGACUCUGACCCUGCAUCCUCUGGUCGUGUAUCCUGUGAUUCUGGCCUUGCAGCCUUUUGACACUAGAUGUAUAUCCUGCGGCUCUGGACCGGAGUCCUGUCUGUCGCUCAUGGUGCCUGCCCGGUCCUGCCCAGUGUACUCCGUUUAACCUACAAGACUGUACUUAAUACUCUGCCUGAACCUCGCGUGCUAGAUCUAGGUUUACUGUAUAUUUUGUAUUGGC